Molecule: long non-coding RNA, 981 nt
Filed under: Homo sapiens (human)
Lineage: Eukaryota; Metazoa; Chordata; Mammalia; Primates; Hominidae
Description: non-protein coding LINC00665:23
Source: RNAcentral
UGGUGCUAAAUUAGAUCAUAGUGUGGUCCUUGGACCAACAGUAUCAAUAGCACCUGAAAAUCAUGCUGGAAAUACAGAUUCACAGGCUGCUCCCUAGAAUACUGAAGAAGAAACUCUAGGAGUGAGACCCAACAAUCUGUAUUUAACAAGUCCCCAGGUGAGUCUGAUGCACACAGAAAUGUGAGCUGCUGUAUUAGAUGGUGUUGAGUUCAUGCCACCGAAUCACUGACACACACGUCUGCUCACUGCUUGCUCUUUGCACAGGCCCCUGGAUCCUCCUGGAAUCCCCGAUCCCUCUUGCUCCCUGGCAGAGUUUUCUAGUCCCUCUUACUUGAAGCAUGUCUUUCAGAGCCCGGCACCACCCAUCUUGAGUAUCUGAUACCCCAUCAGCCUGAGUCUCUUAAAGGCCUUUAUACACAUAUGUCUACACAUAGGGAUUUGGAUGAUCUCGGGAUCCCACAUCCUCGCUGUCCCCUGUCCCCCCGCAACAUCCCCCACCAAUACCUUUCUGAAGUUUUCUAGUCCCUCCUUUUUGUUUGUGCUCCUUAAAGCCCAGCCCCAUGCCUGACUUUGGUUCCCAGUGAGCAUUGUACAUUUGUGGAUAUUAAAUCUUUGGCAAAGUCAUUUACCUGGGCUGGAAUAGGGCUCUUGGCUGAUUCUUUUUCCUAAACACCCACCCAAUGGGAGAGGCUGAUACUCAACAUGCAAACCUUGUGUUUUAUUUCUCCAGGCGAAGGGAUGUUGGAAGACAUUCUGGAAGGGGUGGGGUGUGAAGAUUUACAAAUAAUCUUUGAAUAUCUGCUUCAUGAUAGGUCUUGGAGGUGCCUUGUGGGUGUGGCUUUGGGGGGAUGGUUACGAGGAAAUUGUGGAUAUUAAGGAAGUCAGGAAAGGAAAAGAUCAGUCACAAUUCAACAAUUCAGAGAAAGCUCCUAAGGGACUUUCUGGCUGCUUGAUGCCCAGAGGCCAGGCCCUCACUUCGUA